AAUACGGAGACGGGACUCGUAACGGGCCUCCGACAUCCGAAUGAGUACAAUUUAAAUCCUUUAACGAGGAACAACUGGAGGGCAAGUCUGGUGCCAGCAGCCGCGGUAACUCCAGCUCCAGAAGCGUAUAUUAAAGUUGUUGCAGUUAAAAAGCUCGUAGUUGGAUCUGGGUCGCAUGGCUAUUCGCCGUGAUUGGCUUCAGACAUUGUUUAUUGGUUCGCCUUUAUUCGUGGUGUUGCUGAUCCGGUGUUGUGGUCGUGUAACCUUUCUGUCGUGUCUGUGCCUUUUUUCGGAAAGCGCAGGUGUUGGCUUUCUGUGUGUCGCAAGAUGUGCAGUUGGCUGGCAUGCUUUCGGGUGCUCUUCAUUGGGUGCUUGGAGCGGGCGGCAAGUUUACUUUGAACAAAUUUGAGUGCUCAAAGCAGGCCGUAGAGCCUGAAAAGUCUUGCAUGGAAUAAUGAAAUAGGACUUCGGUUCUAUUUUGUUGGUUUUCGGAUCCGAAGUAAUGGUUAAGAGGGACAAACGGGGGCAUUUGUAUGGCGGCGUUAGAGGUGAAAUUCAUGGAUCGUCGCCAGACAAACUACAGCGAAAGCAUUUGCCAAGGAUGUUUUCAUUGAUCUGGAGCGAAAGUCAGAGGAUCGAAGACGAUCAGAUACCGUCCUAGUUCUGACCAUAAACGAUGCCAACUGACGAUCCGAGGCGAGCUACUUUUGGCCCCUCGGGCAGUCCCCGGGAAACCUUUAAGUCUUUGGGCUCCGGGGGAAGUAUGGUUGCAAAGCUGAAACUUAAAGGAAUUGACGGAAGGGCACCACCAGGAGUGGAGCCUGCGGCUUAAUUCGACUCAACACGGGAAAACUCACCCGGCCCGGACACUGUGAGGA
RNAcentral lists this ribosomal RNA (878 nucleotides) under Hemiurus appendiculatus. RNAcentral describes it as "SSU rRNA". It matches the Rfam family "Eukaryotic small subunit ribosomal RNA", at positions 476 to 1239 of the family's 1831-position model. The record is from RNAcentral. Lineage: Eukaryota; Metazoa; Platyhelminthes; Trematoda; Azygiida; Hemiuridae.